This 1095-nucleotide ribosomal RNA is filed under the name Weissella confusa. RNAcentral's name for it is "bacterial SSU rRNA". It matches the Rfam family "Bacterial small subunit ribosomal RNA", at positions 31 to 1050 of the family's 1533-position model. Lineage: Bacteria; Bacillati; Bacillota; Bacilli; Lactobacillales; Lactobacillaceae. The record is from RNAcentral.
UAAUGCAUGAGGAGCUACUACAUGCAGUCGAACGCUUUGUGGUUCAACUGAUUUGAAGAGCUUGCUCAGAUAUGACGAUGGACAUUGCAAGAGUGGCGAACGGGUGAGUAACACGUGGGAACCUACCUCUUAGCAGGGAUAACAUUUGGAAACAGAUGCUAAUACCGUAUAACAAUGACAACCGCAUGGUUGUUAUUUCAAGAUGGUUCUGCUAUCACUAAGAGAUGGUCCCGCGGUGCAUUAGCUAGUUGGUAAGGUAAUGGCUUACCAAGGCGAUGAUGCAUAGCCGAGUUGAGAGACUGAUCGGCCACAAUGGGACUGAGACACGGCCCAUACUCCUACGGGAGGCAGCAGUAGGGAAUCUUCCACAAUGGGCGAAAGCCUGAUGGAGCAACGCCGCGUGUGUGAUGAAGGUUUCGGCUCGUAAAACACUGUUGUAAGAGAAGAAUGACAUUGAGAGUAACUGUUCAAUGUGUGACGGUAUCUUACCAGAAAGGAACGGGCUAACUACGUGCCAGCAGCCGCGGUAAUACGUAUGUGUCCAAGCUUUAUCCGGAUUUAUUGGGCGUAGAGCGAGCGCAGACGGUUAUUUAAGUCUGAUGUGAAAGCCCUCAGCUCAACUGAGGAAUUGCUUUGGAAACUGGAUGACUUGAGUGCAGGAGAGUACAGUGGAACUCCAUGUGUAGCGGUGAAAUGCGUAGAUAUAUGGGAGGAACACCAGUGGCGAAGGCGGGUUUCUGGACUGUAACUGACGAAUGAGUCUCGAAAGUAUGGGUAGCAAAACAGGGAGUAGAUACCCCUGCGUAGUCCACACCGUAAACGAUGGAGUGCUAGGGUGUCUUGGAGGUUAUUCCGCCCCUUAAAUGCCGCUACUAACGGCAUUCAGGCACUUCGGCGUGGGGGGAGUACUGACCGCUAGGAUGGAACUUGCAAAGGAACUUGGACGGAGACCUCGCAACAUGGUGGUGUGACAUUGGUAUUUAAGUUCGAGAGCACCUGGCAGAAACUUGACUAGGCCUUGGCCAUCCUUUGGACAGUUACGGGACAUGUGAGCGGUUCCCUUCGGGGACAUGUGUCACGGUGGUGCUCAUGACU